RNAcentral lists this ribosomal RNA (783 nucleotides) under Microbacterium sp. RNAcentral's name for it is "bacterial SSU rRNA". It matches the Rfam family "Bacterial small subunit ribosomal RNA", at positions 48 to 838 of the family's 1533-position model. Lineage: Bacteria; Bacillati; Actinomycetota; Actinomycetes; Micrococcales; Microbacteriaceae. The record is from RNAcentral.
UCUACACAUGCAGUCGAACGAUGAAGCCGGAGCUUGCUCUGGUGGAUUAGUGGCGAACGGGUGAGUAACACGUGAGUAACCUGCCCCUGACUCUGGGAUAAGCGCUGGAAACGGCGUCUAAUACCGGAUAUGCGCUGUAACCGCAUGGUUUGCAGCGGGAAAGAUUUAUCGGUUGGGGAUGGACUCGCGGCCUAUCAGCUUGUUGGUGAGGUAAUGGCUCACCAAGGCGUCGACGGGUAGCCGGCCUGAGAGGGUGACCGGCCACACUGGGACUGAGACACGGCCCAGACUCCUACGGGAGGCAGCAGUGGGGAAUAUUGCACAAUGGGCGCAAGCCUGAUGCAGCAACGCCGCGUGAGGGAUGACGGCCUUCGGGUUGUAAACCUCUUUUAGCAGGGAAGAAGCCUUCGGGUGACGGUACCUGCAGAAAAAGCGCCGGCUAACUACGUGCCAGCAGCCGCGGUAAUACGUAGGGCGCAAGCGUUAUCCGGAAUUAUUGGGCGUAAAGAGCUCGUAGGCGGUUUGUCACGUCUGCUGUGAAAACUGGAGGCUCAACCUCCAGCCUGCAGUGGGUACGGGCAGACUAGAGUGCGGUAGGGGAGAUUGGAAUUCCUGGUGUAGCGGUGGAAUGCGCAGAUAUCAGGAGGAACACCGAUGGCGAAAGCAGAUCUCUGGGCCGUUACUGACGCUGAGGAGCGAAAGGGUGGGGAGCAAACAGGCUUAGAUACCCUGGUAGUCCACCCCGUAAACGUUGGGAACUAGUUGUGGGGGCUUUUCUACGGU